GACUUGAUCCAAAAAUAAUUACUCAAUCAAAUUGAGUUAAUUAGCGAUCAAAUCACUAAUUAAAUCUCUCAUAAAUACUGAGUCCAAAUCCGAUGGGCAAUCAGGUAUCAGAAUUCAUCGAUAUGUAACUUUGAUCGAAAAAUCCCAACCAGUGGGACUCUUGACCCCGGUACCCAUAAUGUGUGGAACUCAUGAUCAGAGAAUCCUGAUUCUCGAUCAUUGAGUUCCAAACAUGUAGGAUUCUACAUCAGCCAUCAAAUCAGAUAGGAACCUCUAAUGUGUGUGACCCCGCAGGUUCAAACCUAAGCCGGUAGCACAGGAACCAAUUCCUGUACUAAUCGAAGUGACCAUCUAGCAAUGGUACCCGAUGUCUGGAUAGGUCAGAGAGUCGCAAUCAUAACACUCAGAACCUACAUGAAUAUAGUUACUGUAUAAUUCAUCCUUUUGACCCCUGUGUUUAGGAUAACUCAGGGUUAAACUGUCAACCCUGAUCAGAUCAUCCGAAUCAUGCUCAACUCAAACAGUCCUGUGACUCCUCACAAGGACUAUCUUGGUCAAGGUUUUGCUAAAUUGAAAUAUGACUAUACACAGCUCCUAAACUGGAGUAGUCAAUCCCAUCUUGAUACACGCACUAACAAGUCAAGUACUUGACUACACCUAGCAACCUUCCGUCACUGAAUUAAAAAUUCAGAUAGUCCAGUGCCUAAGUAUAGUGAGUUGCUUGCAAGUCACCAUGGCGGUCU
Molecule: long non-coding RNA, 743 nt
Filed under: Elaeis guineensis (African oil palm)
Lineage: Eukaryota; Viridiplantae; Streptophyta; Magnoliopsida; Arecales; Arecaceae
Description: long non-coding RNA (EGUI_LNC060127)
Source: RNAcentral